This 808-nucleotide long non-coding RNA is filed under the name Mus spicilegus (steppe mouse). RNAcentral describes it as "lncRNA (ENSMSIG00000000002.1)". Lineage: Eukaryota; Metazoa; Chordata; Mammalia; Rodentia; Muridae. The record is from RNAcentral.
AAGGAGCAGAAUUACACAUGCCAUGUGCUCCAUGACGGGCUGCCUGAGCCCCUCACCCUGAGAUGGGGUAAGGAGGGUGUGGGUGCAGAGCUGGGGUCAGGGAAAGCUGGAGCCUUUUGCAGACCCUGACCUGCUCAGGGCUGAGAGCUGGGGUCAUGACCCUCACCUUCAUUUCCUGUACCUGUCCUUCCCAGAGCCUCCUCCAUCCACUGUCUCCAACAUGGCGACCGUUGCUGUUCUGGUUGUCCUUGGAGCUUGGCCAUCAUGGGAGCUGUGGUGGCUUUUGUGAUGAAGAGAAGGAGACACACAGGUAGGAAAGGGCAGAGUCUGAGUUUUCUCUCAGCCUCCUUUAGAGUGUGCUCUGCUCAUCAAUGGGAAACACAGUCACAACUGCAUUGCUACUGUCUGUAACUGGGUCUGCUCUCAGUUCUGGGAACUUCCUAGAGUCAAGAUCAUCCUUGAACUCUCACAGCUUUCCUUCUCACAGGUGGACAAGGAGGGGACUAUGCUCUGGCUCCAGAGAACAGCGCCUGAUGUUCCCUGUGAGCCUAUGGGCUCAAUGUGAAGAAUUGUGGAGCCCAGCCUUCCCCUACACACCAGGACCCUGUCUCUGCAUUGCCCUGUGUUCCCUUCCACCGCCAACCUUCCUGGUCUGCAGUGGAAACUAAGGGUUCUUUGGAAAGUCGGUUGGAUGGUGUUGUGAUGGGGCAAACACAUGAAGGAGUGUUUCCUUAAAGUGGAUACAGGUGUGAAAGUCUAAGGCCGACUCCUGAAGGAACAUUUCACUGAAGCAGACACAGGAGAGAGG